GGUACACGAGGUAAGUAUGUUAGACCUGACGAUUCUAACUUUGGGGAUUAGGCUAAGUACUUAGACAAAGAGGCAGCUAGUUUUUGAGCCAAGGGCCAAAGGUCCAAUCAAGAAACUUAGAACUUGAGAAAGGGGAAUUAAGGUCAGACUAUUAUGGGGACAACUAAAGGAAAGAGGCAGAUAGAGAGAAACAUUGUGACUGGAGGAGAAAGGAUGAUUAUAAGGAGAAGUGUG
RNAcentral lists this long non-coding RNA (234 nucleotides) under Capsicum annuum. RNAcentral describes it as "long non-coding RNA (CANN_LNC011262)". Lineage: Eukaryota; Viridiplantae; Streptophyta; Magnoliopsida; Solanales; Solanaceae. The record is from RNAcentral.